UGAGGACGUGGUGCAAACGUUAAGAAACCAACUUGUUGGAGGAACAUCACAACUUGAUGUUGUCUCAGUUGUUGGCACUUUUGGACAAGGUAAAACAACAGUUGCCAAAAAGCUAUUCUAUGACGAAUCAAUUACCUCUCUGUUUGAUGUUCAUGCAAAAUGUUUUCUUUGUUGGGAUUUUGCUUAAAAAUGAGAAGGGUCAUUAUCCCACAUUGGAAAAAACCUCUAUGUUUGAAAUUCAUGCAAAAUGUCUUCUUCCUGUUGUAUAUUUACGUAGAGAGUUGUUGGUAGCUAUUCUGAAUGAUGUGGUUGACAAACAAACUGAUCUUAGUGAAGUGCCUGAAGAUGAAUUAUCUGACAAGU
Molecule: long non-coding RNA, 363 nt
Filed under: Nicotiana benthamiana
Lineage: Eukaryota; Viridiplantae; Streptophyta; Magnoliopsida; Solanales; Solanaceae
Description: long non-coding RNA (NBEN_LNC004745)
Source: RNAcentral